AUCCCAUGAUGAGGACACUUAUGAAGUAACUCCUUGAAUCACUCCCAACCCUCAUACAAAGACUCGUCACCCAAUUCUUGUGGUAAAUACUUAACCAAAAAUCUCCUUGCUAAUUCU
Molecule: small nucleolar RNA, 117 nt
Filed under: Gossypium hirsutum (cotton)
Lineage: Eukaryota; Viridiplantae; Streptophyta; Magnoliopsida; Malvales; Malvaceae
Description: Plant small nucleolar RNA R71
Rfam family: Plant small nucleolar RNA R71
About the family: R71 is a member of the C/D box family of snoRNAs containing the C (UGAUGA) and D (CUGA) box motifs. Multiple nearly identical copies of this snoRNA have been identified in Arabidopsis, and it is thought to function as a 2'-O-ribose methylation guide for 18S ribosomal RNA.
Source: Rfam by way of RNAcentral